Molecule: long non-coding RNA, 2084 nt
Organism: Tympanuchus pallidicinctus (lesser prairie-chicken)
Lineage: Eukaryota; Metazoa; Chordata; Aves; Galliformes; Phasianidae
Exons: 3
Source: RefSeq, a predicted model, not a curated record
GUGCCACCAAAAUGCAAAGGCUUCAGAUAAUGGAGGAACUGCAGAAAAACCAUGGAUGAGACUAUAUGCCUUAGAGUGCAGUUAUAAAAACGAGAAAAGCCUGGGACAAUGGCUCUGAAUUAGGACGAGCCUGAAAGGCAUCCCGGUACCGUGCACCCUGUCCUCCAGCCCUACGGACAACAAAACCCGGUCCCUCUGCACCAGGAGGAGAGCGAGGCAAGAAAAGAAAGCAGAGGGAGGGCCGGCAGCGAGAGAAACCCAUCCUGAAUGCGCUAUCAGAUAAGUGUGGAGAAAAUGACAGAGCAAUGUGGCCCAUGAUGUAUUAGUCUCAUGGAUGCUCAGCCCAUGCCUCAUGCUGCCUUUAAUGCCCUUGCAGAGCAUCAGCAGGAUGCAAGCAAGGAUCAGCAGCAAGCAGGAGCAGCCAGCACCUCCCCUUGCCCUGAGGUCAGUUAUGCCAGCUGUUGUCUCCUGUCACUUAUGCACUAUUGUCUCUUGGAUUAGAUCAGCCUCCUUUCAACACUGUGACAUUCCUGUUUGAUGGGCAGUGUAACAACAAAUGCCAUGUGUGUACCUGAAACUCUUAUCAUAGAAUCACAGAUUCAUUAAGGUUGGGAAAUAUCUCUGAUAUUAGCAAGUUCAGCUGUCAACCCAUGCCUGCCACCAUGCUCAUGCCAACCUCUAUAGCCAUCAAACCAUGUCCCUCAGUCCUACAUCUCCAUGGUUCUUGAGUACCUCCAAGGAUGGGGACUACCCCAGCACUCUGAGCAGCAGAUGUUCUUAGCUCACAUUUGGCUUUGAAUUUUACUGUCCAUUUCACACUGAAGGUGGAUCUACAAGCUGCUCAGCAUCCAACCAGUAGUUCCAGGUGUUUGAGCAGCAGGAGUCACGUCUGCCUUUCAACCUUCUCCUGCUAAUGUGAGUGGAAGAUGCACUGUGCUGGAGAGGUUUUGGAGUCUUCUGAGUAGCUUUGCUAAUGGAAAACAUGAUUCCAGAGCCUGGAUCACAGUGUGAUGCAGGGAGAGCCAGCCCAUCUCAUUUCAUAGAAUUUUGGAAUGGCCUGAGUUGAGAACAGCCUCAAAGAUCAUCGUUCAACCCCACUUCCAUGGGCAGGGUUGCCAACCGCCUCAUCUCUGCCUGCAGCACCUGCUCUGAUUAUUUCUUUUCUUUUAAUCCUAACUGAGGGUCUUCAUUUGUGCUGACUGUGACUGGAGACUCAGAAUCAUACCAUUGCCAUUGAAACAAGUGGUGGCCAAUACAUGUGUGCCAUGCAUAGAGAGCAGGAGAGAAACACAAGACGUAGGGAAGCUUCACAUUGUAUGCAAGACUUAAGCUAGGCACCCAAAAUCUGCAGGUUCACUGCCUGCCUCUGUGCUUACUGCUUCUGGAGCCCAGCGAGGAUAAUAAUCAUGGUAGCAAAUAAGUUGUCAUCUGCAGGGCUAGACAAGGUCAGGAGAAUUUUGGUGAAAUGUUCUUUUCUGUGUUAUUUUCACUGCGAUCAAAAUGGCUAAAAAUAAGCAGGUUGACAUCCACUCUAUUUUUAUUUAGAUCUCAGUAAUUGAAACACAUGGACAAAAGUCCUGCGUUUGAUUUUCUUUCAUGUGGGAUUUACUCUUCCUUCCAAACACACACAACACACAAAUUAUAUGUGUGUAUGCAUGUGUUUGAAUAUGCGACCGUCCCAUUUAUAUUCUGUGUUUCGCUUAUUAAAAACAAAGUUUCAGUCGAAAUAAAACAUGUGCUGGACCAGCCAAUAAUUGUUAUUUAUUUAGCCAGAUGUCACCUCUUGGCGAAUGACUGUGCACUUUGGGGUUUAGUCAUAAAAAAAUAAUACAUUAAAACUGUGGAAUGUUCCCCAAAGUGGAAACUUUGGAUAGAUGGACACGAGGGAGGCUGCAGCCCUGGGCCCCUCCCUGUCCUCAGUGUUUCACUCACACCUCUUUCCUGGCUCGGUCCUGGACCACCCCAAGUCGGUCCCUCUGAGACGUGGCCAUGGGGACAGCUCAGUCCUGGGACUCCAUUUAGGGUGAGAUUGCAUCCAGCUGGGCUUGGUCACCUCCAGACCUGUCGACACUAUUUCAAACACU